GCGGCGUGCUAUACAUGCAAGUCGUACGCUUCUUUUUCCACCGGAGCUUGCUCCACCGGAAAAAGAAGAGUGGCGAACGGGUGAGUAACACGUGGGUAACCUGCCCAUCAGAAGGGGAUAACACUUGGAAACAGGUGCUAAUACCGUAUAACAAUCGAAACCGCAGGGUUUUGAUUUGAAAGGCGCUUUCGGGUGUCGCUGAUGGAUGGACCCGCGGUGCAUUAGCUAGUUGGUGAGGUAACGGCUCACCAAGGCCACGAUGCAUAGCCGACCUGAGAGGGUGAUCGGCCACAUUGGGACUGAGACACGGCCCAAACUCCUACGGGAGGCAGCAGUAGGGAAUCUUCGGCAAUGGACGAAAGUCUGACCGAGCAACGCCGCGUGAGUGAAGAAGGUUUUCGGAUCGUAAAACUCUGUUGUUAGAGAAGAACAAGGAUGAGAGUAACUGUUCAUCCCUUGACGGUAUCUAACCAGAAAGCCACGGCUAACUACGUGCCAGCAGCCGCGGUAAUACGUAGGUGGCAAGCGUUGUCCGGAUUUAUUGGGCGUAAAGCGAGCGCAGGCGGUUUCUUAAGUCUGAUGUGAAAGCCCCCGGCUCAACCGGGGAGGGUCAUUGGAAACUGGGAGACUUGAGUGCAGAAGAGGAGAGUGGAAUUCCAUGUGUAGCGGUGAAAUGCGUAGAUAUAUGGAGGAACACCAGUGGCGAAGGCGGCUCUCUGGUCUGUAACUGACGCUGAGGCUCGAAAGCGUGGGGAGCAAACAGGAUUAGAUACCCUGGUAGUCCACGCCGUAAACGAUGAGUGCUAAGUGUUGGAGGGUUUCCGCCCUUCAGUGCUGCAGCUAACGCAUUAAGCACUCCGCCUGGGGAGUACGACCGCAAGGUUGAAACUCAAAGGAAUUGACGGGGGCCCGCACAAGCGGUGGAGCAUGUGGUUUAAUUCGAAGCAACGCGAAGAACCUUACCAGGUCUUGACAUCCUUUGACCACUCUAGAGAUAGAGCUUCCCCUUCGGGGGCAAAGUGACAGGUGGUGCAUGGUUGUCGUCAGCUCGUGUCGUGAGAUGUUGGGUUAAGUCCCGCAACGAGCGCAACCCUUAUUGUUAGUUGCCAUCAUUCAGUUGGGGACUCUAGCAAGACUGCCGGUGACAAACCGGAGGAAAGGUGGGGGAGGAAAGCCAAAACUUCUUGGCCCCUUAUAAACUGGG
Molecule: ribosomal RNA, 1204 nt
Filed under: Enterococcus durans
Lineage: Bacteria; Bacillati; Bacillota; Bacilli; Lactobacillales; Enterococcaceae
Description: bacterial SSU rRNA
Rfam family: Bacterial small subunit ribosomal RNA
Source: RNAcentral